CCCGCCUUGGCCUCCCAAAGUCCUGGGAUUACCAGCGUGAGCCACGGCGCCUGGCCUACUCAGGUGAUUCUCAGGUGCAGCCAGGUAGGAACCAGAGGUUACAUUAUGCUGGGUCAAAUACAAAGUACCACCCACCCCUCUCCACAGGAGGGGAGGGAAAGAGCACAGACACUCAGCUCUGAGCAGAGCUUCUCCUCUGCCUGGGGUUGGGGGGAUGUGGGGAGACGGAGGAGAGAGGAAGAGAAGUGGAGAGGGGGAAGAGAGGGAAGAAGAAAAGGGGGGAAGAGGGGAGAAAGGAGGAAGAAGGGAAGGAGAGGAGAAUGGGGAAAGAGAAAAAGGGGGAUGAGGGAGGACGGGGAGGAAGGAGGGAAGGGGAGGUGGAGGAGGGGGAGGGAAGGGGAGGGAAAAAGGUAGAGGUGGGCUGCCAUUUAUCCAAUAGCCCCUGUGCCCGUUGCCUGAUUCUUUUUUGAUUGUUGUUGCUGAAGAGGGAAUGUGAAUUUCAAGGCUAAAGGCAGAGGGACCGCCUGGGCCAGAGCUCCCAGGCAGCCUUGG
Molecule: long non-coding RNA, 552 nt
Filed under: Homo sapiens (human)
Lineage: Eukaryota; Metazoa; Chordata; Mammalia; Primates; Hominidae
Description: HSALNT0152877
Source: RNAcentral